AUUGAACGCUGGCGGCAGGCCUAACACAUGCAAGUCGAACGACUGGCGGACGGGUGAGUUAUGUCUGGGCAACUGCCUGAUGGAGGGGGAUAACUACUGGAAACGGUAGCUAAUCCCUCCUACCAUCAGAUGUGCCUAGUUGGGAUUAGCUGGUUGGUGGGGUAAUGGCUCACCUAGGCGACGAUCCCUAGUUGGUCUGAGAGGAUGACCAGCCACAGUGGAACUGAGACACGGUCCAGACUCCUACGGGAGGCAGCAGUGGGGAAUAUUGCACAAGGGGCGCAAGCCUGAUGCAGCCAUGCGGCGUGUAUGAAGAAGGCCUUCGGGUUGUAAAGUACUUUCAGCGGGGAGGCGGUACCCGCAGAAGAAGCACCGGCUAACUCCGUGCCAGCAGCCGCGGUAAUUC
Molecule: ribosomal RNA, 406 nt
Filed under: uncultured bacterium
Lineage: Bacteria
Description: partial 16S ribosomal RNA
Rfam family: Bacterial small subunit ribosomal RNA
Source: RNAcentral